This 560-nucleotide ribosomal RNA is filed under the name uncultured bacterium. RNAcentral's name for it is "bacterial SSU rRNA". It matches the Rfam family "Bacterial small subunit ribosomal RNA", at positions 35 to 573 of the family's 1533-position model. The record is from RNAcentral.
GCUGGCGGCGUGCUUAACACAUGCAAGUCGGAUGCGAACGGGUCCUUCGGGGCGCGAGUAGCAUGGCAGACGGGUGAGGAGCGCGUACCUGACCGGACGCAGGCAGGGGGAUAGUCCCUCGAAAGGGGGUUGAAUACCGCAUGUGCUCAUCGUGGUCGACACGGUGAGGAAAGGUGGCCUCUGCGUGCAAGCUGUCGGCCUGCGACGGGGGUGCGUCCUAUUAGCUAGCUGGUGGGGUAAUGGCCUACCAGGGCGACGAUGGGUAGCUGGUCUGAGAGGAUGAUCAGCCACACUGGGACUGCGACACGGCCCAGACUCCUACGGGAGGCAGCAGUGGGGAAUUUUGCGCAAUGGACGCAAGUCUGACGCAGCAACGCCGCGUGCAUGAUGACGCCUUUCGGGGUGUAAAGUGCUGUCGAGCGGGACGAAGGCGGGGUGGUGAAGAGCCAGCCCGGAUGACGGUACCGCUGGAGGAAGCCCCGGCUAACUCCGUGCCAGCAGCCGCGGUAAGACGGAGGGGGCAAGCGUUGUUCGGAAUUACUGGGCGUAAAGCGCGCGUA